RNAcentral lists this ribosomal RNA (253 nucleotides) under uncultured bacterium. Its description in RNAcentral is "partial 16S ribosomal RNA". It matches the Rfam family "Bacterial small subunit ribosomal RNA", at positions 524 to 776 of the family's 1533-position model. The record is from RNAcentral.
UACAGAGGGUGCAAGCGUUGUUCGGAAUUAUUGGGCGUAAAGGGCGCGUAGGCGGUGCGGUAAGUCUGUAGUGAAAUCUCUGGGCUCAACUCAGAGUCUGCUGCAGAAACUGCCGUGCUUGAGUGUGGGAGAGGUGAGUGGAAUUCCCGGUGUAGCGGUGAAAUGCGUAGAUAUCGGGAGGAAUACCGAUGGCGAAGGCAGGUCUCUGGGCUAACACUGACGCUCAUGCACGAAAGCGUGGGGAGCAAACAGG